RNAcentral lists this small nucleolar RNA (63 nucleotides) under Saccharolobus islandicus HVE10/4. RNAcentral's name for it is "Sulfolobus islandicus HVE10/4 non-coding RNA". The record is from RNAcentral. Lineage: Archaea; Thermoproteati; Thermoproteota; Thermoprotei; Sulfolobales; Sulfolobaceae. RNAcentral also lists the same sequence under 1 other name.
UGAUGAGCUUCCAGGCUUAGAUCGAUGAAGAGGGAUGUGCAAACGCUGAGUUAGGUUUUAUAU